RNAcentral lists this ribosomal RNA (497 nucleotides) under uncultured bacterium. RNAcentral describes it as "partial 16S ribosomal RNA". It matches the Rfam family "Bacterial small subunit ribosomal RNA", at positions 28 to 507 of the family's 1533-position model. The record is from RNAcentral.
GAUGAACGCUGGCGGCGUGCCUAACACAUGCAAGUCGAGCGAACAGACGAGGAGCUUGCUCCUCUGACGUUAGCGGCGGACGGGUGAGUAACACGUGGAUAACCUACCUAUAAGACUGGGAUAACUUCGGGAAACCGGAGCUAAUACCGGAUAAUAUAUUGAACCGCAUGGUUCAAUAGUGAAAGACGGUUUUGCUGUCACUUAUAGAUGGAUCCGCGCCGCAUUAGCUAGUUGGUAAGGUAACGGCUUACCAAGGCAAUGAUGCGUAGCCGACCUGAGAGGGUGAUCGGCCACACUGGAACUGAGACACGGUCCAGACUCCUACGGGAGGCAGCAGUAGGGAAUCUUCCGCAAUGGGCGAAAGCUUGACGGAGCAACGCCGCGUGAGUGAUGAAGGUCUUCGGAUCGUAAAACUCUGUUAUUAGGGAAGAACAAAUGUGUAAGUAACUAUGCACGUCUUGACGGUACCUAAUCAGAAAGCCACGGCUAACUACGUG